UGGCCAUCCGAGUUGUAAUCUAGAGAAGUGUUACCCGCGUCGACCCGUGUACAAGUCUCCUGGAAUGGAGCGUCAUAGAGGGUGAGAAUCCCGUCUUUGACACGGACUACCGAGGCUUUGUGGUGCGCUCUCAAAGAGUCGAGUUGUUUGGGAAUGCAGCUCAAAAUGGGUGGUAAAUUCCAUCUAAAGCUAAAUAUUGGCGAGAGACCGAUAGCGAACAAGUACCGUGAGGGAAAGAUGAAAAGAACUUUGGAAAGAGAGUUAAACAGUACGUGAAAUUGCUGAAAGGGAAACGCUUGAAGUCAGUCGCGUUAGCCGGAAAUCAGCCUUGCUUUUGCGGGGUGUACUUUCUGGUUGACGGGCCAGCAUCAGUUUUGACCGGUGGAAAAAGUCUGGAGGAAUGUGGCAUCUUCGGAUGUGUUAUAGCCUCUAGUCGUAUACAUCGGUUGGGACUGAGGAACUCAGCACUUGUGCUUAGGAUGCUGGCAUAAUGGCUUUAAUCGACCCGUCUUGAAACACGGACCAAGGAGUCUAACAUGCCUGCGAGUGUUUGGGUGGAAAACCCGGACGCGUAAUGAAAGUGAAAGUUGAGAUCCUUGUCAUGGGGAGCAUCGACGCCCGGACCAGAAGUUCUCUGACGGCCCUGCGGUAGAGCAUGUAUGUUGGGACCCGAAAGAUGGUGAACUAUGCCUGAAUAGGGUGAAGCCAGAGGAAACUCUGGUGGAGGCUCGUAGC
RNAcentral lists this ribosomal RNA (735 nucleotides) under Psathyrella fagetophila. RNAcentral's name for it is "eukaryotic LSU rRNA". It matches the Rfam family "Eukaryotic large subunit ribosomal RNA", at positions 131 to 881 of the family's 3401-position model. Lineage: Eukaryota; Fungi; Basidiomycota; Agaricomycetes; Agaricales; Psathyrellaceae. The record is from RNAcentral.